CUGGAGCCAUCGCGAUUGAUUCCUCCCAUCCCAAGAUGGCUUCUGGGUUCCACUCCUUCCCCAAACACCACGGAUAACACCCCUCCCCCUUUUUUGGAGGCUGACUGAUACCUGGACUUCUGGGUCCUCUUCCCUCCCCGCCCCCGCAUUGCUUCCUCCCUUCUCCCCACCCCUGAGGCUUCCUUACGUCUGCUCCGAGGUGUGGGUCCCCGUCGCGGUUGGGCGGGAGGAGGCGGCAGGGAGCUCCCCUCCGUCCGGAUAGUGGAGUCUCGCUCUCAGUCAAAAUCUCCAACGGGAACUCCUGCUCGUGUAAAAUCGGAGAGCAGGUCAGGAUCUCGUAGUCCAUCAAGGGUUUCCAAACACUCUGAAUCCCAUUCUCGAUCAAGAUCAAAAUCCAGGUCGAGGUCAAGGAGACAUUCUCAUAGACGUUACACUCGAUCCAGAUCCCACUCUCACUCUCAUAGGAGACGAUCUCGAAGUAGAUCAUAUACACCAGAAUACCGGCGGCGAAGGAGCCGAAGCCAUUCUCCAAUGUCUAACCGGAGAAGACAUACUGGCAGCAGGGCAAAUCCAGAUCCCAACACUUGCCUUGGAGUGUUUGGCCUCAGUCUGUACACAACAGAGAGGGAUCUUCGUGAAGUAUUUUCUCGAUAUGGACCACUGAGUGGUGUCAAUGUGGUUUAUGAUCAGCGAACUGGGCGAUCUCGAGGAUUUGCUUUUGUGUAUUUUGAAAGAAUAGAUGACUCAAAGGAGGCUAUGGAAAGGGCAAAUGGAAUGGAGCUGGAUGGUAGAAGAAUUCGGGUGGAUUAUUCUAUAACCAAGAGAGCGCACACACCAACACCAGGCAUCUACAUGGGCAGACCAACUC
Molecule: small RNA, 868 nt
Filed under: Pan troglodytes (chimpanzee)
Lineage: Eukaryota; Metazoa; Chordata; Mammalia; Primates; Hominidae
Description: processed transcript
Source: RNAcentral